Molecule: non-coding RNA, 130 nt
Organism: Ornithodoros turicata
Lineage: Eukaryota; Metazoa; Arthropoda; Arachnida; Ixodida; Argasidae
Product: small Cajal body-specific RNA 8
Exons: 1
Source: RefSeq, a predicted model, not a curated record
CAGGAUCUUGAAUACGCUGGGUGCAUUGAGUGACCUGCAUUCGGUUACUAGAGAUCCUAAAGUAAUGCUGCUUUCUGAUGAGCAGGGAUCGGAUAGAUAGCAUCCCUGCACAGAUACGGAGCACACAUUC